Pelobates cultripes (western spadefoot toad) is the source of this 204-nucleotide non-coding RNA. The record is from the annotation of a GenBank genome assembly. Lineage: Eukaryota; Metazoa; Chordata; Amphibia; Anura; Pelobatidae.
GUAUGAAGUAACAGUAUUGUAUGUAUUUCUAUGUUUAUUAUUCUUUUCUUAGACAAAAAAAAAGAUAAGUAAAUGUAUGUCUAGUGUUGGCAGGUUGGAGCCAUCCUAACACUACUGUCUUAGAGCCAGGAAACCCAGGUUUGAAUCCCAGUCAGACCCCUUUUCCAAUAAGUGUCCCUUGACAAGAACAUGUUUUUACAGCAC